RNAcentral lists this ribosomal RNA (496 nucleotides) under uncultured bacterium. RNAcentral describes it as "partial 16S ribosomal RNA". It matches the Rfam family "Bacterial small subunit ribosomal RNA", at positions 28 to 506 of the family's 1533-position model. The record is from RNAcentral.
GAUGAACGCUGGCGGCGUGCCUAAUACAUGCAAGUCGAGCGAACGGACGAGAAGCUUGCUUUUCUGAUGUUAGCGGCGGACGGGUGAGUAACACGUGGAUAACCUACCUAUAAGACUGGGAUAACUUCGGGAAACCGGAGCUAAUACCGGAUAAUAUUUUGAACCGCAUGGUUCAAAAGUGAAAGACGGUCUUGCUGUCACUUAUAGAUGGAUCCGCGCUGCAUUAGCUAGUUGGUAAGGUAACGGCUUACCAAGGCAACGAUGCAUAGCCGACCUGAGAGGGUGAUCGGCCACACUGGAGCUGAGAGACGGUCCAGACUCCUACGGGAGGCAGCAGUAGGGAAUCUUCCGCAAUGGGCGAAAGCCUGACGGAGCAACGCCGCGUGAGUGAUGAAGGUCUUCGGAUCGUAAAACUCUGUUAUUAGGGAAGAACAUAUGUGUAAGUAACUGUGCACAUCUUGACGGUACCUAAUCAGAAAGCCACGGCUAACUACGU